ACUUAAAUUGAAGAGUUUGAUCAUGGCUCAGAUUGAACGCUGGCGGCAGGCCUAACACAUGCAAGUCGAGCGGUAGCACAGAGAGCUUGCUCUCGGGUGACGAGCGGCGGACGGGUGAGUAAUGUCUGGGAAACUGCCUGAUGGAGGGGGAUAACUACUGGAAACGGUAGCUAAUACCGCAUAACGUCGCAAGACCAAAGUGGGGGACCUUCGGGCCUCAUGCCAUCAG
Molecule: ribosomal RNA, 229 nt
Filed under: Klebsiella pneumoniae
Lineage: Bacteria; Pseudomonadati; Pseudomonadota; Gammaproteobacteria; Enterobacterales; Enterobacteriaceae
Description: partial 16S ribosomal RNA
Rfam family: Bacterial small subunit ribosomal RNA
Source: RNAcentral